Mus musculus (house mouse) is the source of this 1472-nucleotide long non-coding RNA. RefSeq annotates it as predicted gene, 31641. The transcript is spliced from 5 exons. The record is from RefSeq and is marked validated. NCBI's taxonomy places the organism in Eukaryota, Metazoa, Chordata, Mammalia, Rodentia, Muridae.
AGUCUCCAGCCAUGUGUGGAAACGCCACGCAUGACCUCUGGGUCAUGUUCUGUGGUCACUUAUUCUCCUUCUGGAGGGAGCUGUUAGGAAAUCGAACCCCAGGAAGGUUUGGAAAGAGCCUGGCCCUGGGACCCAUGGGUGAGGAAAGUCCUGAUGCUGGGCUGAUGAGCCUGCCACUCCCUUAGCUCACCUCUGCCUGCAUCUCUUUCCCACUGAUGGUCUUCCUCUGGGGCAGCUGAAACCCUGCGUCCUGUCCCUGAGCUGCCUGGAGAGGAUGGCUGACGCCACAUCAGUUACCUUCCAUUGCUGCAAGAAGAUGCCCGAGGAAGCUGACAAGGAAGUCCAGGUCUCUCUCCAUCAGAGCCGAUGAGAAGUUCAGACCUCACACACCGCUGUUCAUGUGCUAGGACCAUCUUCUACCCAUGGCGCUCCUGGCUACCUCUGGAAUGAUUGAUCUUGUCCCCAGUCACCUGCCACACUUCCAGACACCGCUUGGCAUCACCGAGAAUGAGCUAAGAUGCUCAGAAGAAUGUCAUUUUGCUCUGGGCAAAGCAUCCUUGGUGAGGAGAAAGAGCUGGCAGAGGUGCUGCCCAGCCUGCACAAGGCCAACGGCCUACAACAAGCAUCAUAGGUGAGUUCCAGCCCCAGAGCUCUCCUCUUGUCCUCAGCCUUUAAAAUGAUGCCUUGGCUUAUUCUGGCAAUUGUCAGUGCAGCCAAGAACAGCGACAGAGAGGUGUCCUCUUUCCUGAGGGUCUCUGUUUUCUUGUGCACUGCCUCUGUGGCCUCUGAUUCCAAUUUCCUCAGAGAGUGCCCUUGGCUCUCUGACACUUCUUUCCUCAGUGGGACAGCUCAUUGCCUUCCAAUCUCAUGCUUGUCAAGCCAUGCAUCCGUAUCCCCAGGGCUUUGAAUAAACCACCUAUCCCGGGAAACUAGGCGAACUUCACAGCUAAGGAUAUUAGGAGAUCGCUAAAGAAACACUUGCCUUCCAUAAACUGUCAGGCACCUAGAUAUGUGACACCUUAGCAGCCGGGACAUUUGGGUGCAAACAGGCAACAAGGAAAUGGAUUGUGGGUAAGGCUAUAGAUUCAUAUUGUUUGGGCAAUUUAUGUUUUCAGGUUGUACUGGCUGGCUUUGUGUGUCAACUUGACACAAAUUGGAGUUAUCACAGAGAAAGGAGCCUCCCUUCAGGAAGCGCCUCUGUGAGAUCCAGAUUUAAGGCAUUUUCUCAGUUAGUAAUCAAGGGUGGGAGGGCUCAUUGUGAGUGGUGCCAUCCCUGGGCUGGUUGUCUUGGGUUCUAUAAGAAAGCAAGCUGAGCAAGCCAGGGGAAGCAAGCCAGUAAGCAGUACCCCUCCAUGGCCUCUGCAUCAGCUCCUGCCUCCAAGUUUCUACCCUGUGUGAGUUUCUGUCCUGACCUCCUUUGGUGAUGAACAGCAAUGUGGAAUUGUAAGCUGAAUAAACCCUUUCUUCCACAA